Phalacrocorax carbo (great cormorant) is the source of this 4468-nucleotide non-coding RNA. NCBI's taxonomy places the organism in Eukaryota, Metazoa, Chordata, Aves, Suliformes, Phalacrocoracidae. The record is from RefSeq and is a predicted model, not a curated record.
UUCAUAUUUCAUUUCUCCUAGGCUGCCGUCUUUAUGUGUGUUUGCUGCUGCAUCAGUCUCCUCAGUCAAGCUGAUGUUCUGAAGGUUUUCUGGGGAAGAGAGAUUAUUUUCCAGACCAGGUUAGGUAGGUCAGGAAAACCCACUGAGUAAGCUGAAUUUAGACUAGCAGAAAAACAGUUUAUUAUACUCAGGGAGUACAUUAAGAUAAAUCUUUCAAAACACCCCCUUCCAAAUAUAAGCGUAGUCUGCUUUAGGAGAUGCUGUUGACAUAAAUCAGCCAGUUUAGCUGCUAGUAAAGGCUCUGUAGUGUAGACAAGUGCUCCUGAGUGAAGCUGACUGAAGUGCCGGUGGUUUGACUCAAUUGCCAUACGUCAGUUAGUCAUGUUGAAUAUGCCCGGGCUGCAUCAUCCCCCUUGAUGGACAGCAAUUGGAGAUGCUUUGGAGUACGUGGGGGUUGCCCAAGAGGCUGCAGAUGACUGGAGACAGCCUUGAGCUCUCAGAAUAAGUCAACCUUUUGAAGAAGUUCAACCCCCUAGCUGUGUUCCAGACAAUCCAGCUACCUCUACCCUCAUAGAAUUGUAGAAUCAUAGAAUCGUUAAAGUUGGAAAAGACCCUUAAGAUCAUCAAGUCCAACCGCUGACCUAUCACUGCCAAGUCCACCACUAAACCAUAUCCUCAAGCACCACAUCUACCUUUCUUUUAAAUACCUCCAGGGAUGGAGACUCAACCACCUCCCUGGGCAGCCUGUUCCAAUGUUUGACAACCCUUUUGGUGAAGAAGUUUUUCCUAGUAUCCAACCUAAACUUCCCCUGGCGCAGCUUGAGGCUGUUUCCUCUCGUCCUAUCACUUGUUAUUAAGGAGAAGAGACCGACCCCUGCCUCACUACAGCCUCCUUUCAGGUAGUUGUAGAGAGCAAUAAGGUCUCCCCUCAGCCUCCUCUUCUCCAGACUAAACAACCCCAGCUCCCUCAGCCGCUCCUCAUAAGACUUGUUCUCUAGACCCUUCACCAACUUCGUUGCCCUUCUAUGGACAUGCUCCAGCAUCUCGAUGUCCUCCUUGUAGUGAGGGGCCCAAAACUGCACACAGUACUCAAGGUGCGGCCUCACCAGUGCCGAGUAUAGGGGCACGAUCACCUCCCUGCUCCUGCUGGCCACACUAUUCCUGAUACAAGCCAGGAUGCUGUUGGCCUUCUUGGCCACCUGGGCACACUGUUGGCUCCUGUUCAGCCGGCUGUCAACCAACACCCCCAGGUCCUUUUCCUCCAGGCAGCUCUCCAGCCACUCCUCCCCAAGCCCGUAACGUUGCAUGGGGUUGUUGUGACCCAAGUGCAGGACUCGGCACUGAGCCUUUUUGAAUCUCAUACCGUUGGCUCCGGCCCCAUGACCCAGCCUGUCCAGGUCCCUCUGUGGGGCCUUCCUGCCCUUCAGCAGAUCGACACUUCCACCCAGCUUGGUGUCAUCUGCUCAUGUAGGAGCUGAGCCUCUUCCCAGGGUAGCAUAGCACAGCCACUGCCCUGGGCAGCCCCAGGCCUUGGUGCCAGGCACCAGCAAGGCACGUGUCUGCCAAGGGAGAGGGAAUGGCACAAAAUGGUCACAGCCCUCUGACAGGUCCUGGUGCUCAUCAUGGUUGUGAAGGGGUCCUGGCUCAGCUGCUGGAAAAAAGAGUAUUAUCAGAGAAAGUUCCUCUGUACUUUGGAAAUCAUUGCUAAAGCUAACAGGGAGUAAAUGGCAUCUCAAAACGUACCUCUUCCACCAUGAGAAACAGUGGCAGCCACAGCCUGGUAAGAGGGACAAGUAGGUGAAUCCCUGCGGACAGGACCUUGGACGAGCCAGAGAGAGUGGGGGAAGAGGAGAGACCAGGAGAAGGUAAUGAGAGAGCCUCUACACUGACCCACUUCUCCUUUUUUCAGUCAUGUGACAAUGACAUUCAUUAGGAAACAUGAAUUGAUGGCAUUUCCUGGGGAGCUGUUGCGUUCUCCAUGAGGCCUCGUAUUUCUCAACCUGCUUCUCCCCACUCCUGCUCUUGUACGCACUGAGGCCUGUGGUGGUGGAGCGAACAAGCACUCGCCCUGCUGGUCUUUUCCUCCCUGGCCAUAGGCUGACCCCUGAGGUUAUCUGACAAGCCUUUCGUCAGACGUCAGCAGGAGCAAGGAUUGGCAGGAAGACAGUGCUGUAAUACGGGAAGUCAUUGCACUCACGCAUCUUGCCCAGCAAAGGUGGAGAAGGUGGCCCUGGCCUUUACGGCAUUUCAAAGGCAUACACUGUUUCAGCGCUGCCUGGAAGCCUAAGAGGUGUUGCUGUCAUAAAACUGCCAGCAGCAACAGGGUGUUUGCUUCACCUGACCUCUGCCACAUCGUCUUGCCUCGCCUGCAAGGGGAGAGGCUUUAUUCCUGCUCUCAGGAGGCACAAUUUUCUUCUGGCUCAACAGCUUCCCAGGAAAGGCUGAUUUAUGCUGACCCCAGCUGUGCGCAGUGGAGAGUGGAUGCUAUCUGGUCUGGAGACUUCCAUCGCAAGCUCAGCUCCUCACUUCAAUACAGAGUGUAGCAAGAGCUUUGGCCGCAGGGAUUUUGCAGCGAGGAACUGAGUUACCAGCACGGGCUCCAAACCCGGCUGUCUCAUCUGGACAUGGUGGGCCAUGGUGAAAUGUCACACAGGACAUUUUGUAGUAGAUAGAUGGGUUGUCCUCCUUGGGCACCUUCCAAAAUGAGGCCACCCCAGGCAGAGCAGGCACAUGGGUGCUAGCUUUGAAGGUGGGCAACAGUCCCGCAGAAGAAGGGAAACCAUAGCCAGGAGCAUUGAUUUCAACAGCAGAUUGCACAAAGCUGGCAGGGAAAAAGGAUCGAGCCCCUCUGGAGCCAUCAGCUCACUUCUAACACCCUGUGGACGAGCAACCACCAGAGGAAGAGGCUGCAGUGCUCCCAGUCCCCACAGCUCCCACCACUUUGUGGGUGGGUAGAAAUGCCACCCAACUUGAUGCCACCUCCAGGAGCCCCGGGGUCCCCAGCAGAGCCCAGCAGUGGCUGCAGCCGCCAGCCCCGUGGUGCCUCAGGACCGUCCGUGCAGGUCACACCCUCACCCGGCACUAGGGCCCUGCGGGGUUUGGUGUGGCUGCUGAGGCUGCUGGAAAAUGAAAUUUCAGUCCUGCUGGCAGCCUUCCAAUUUCAACAUUUUUCUUUCUUCCUUGAAAGAAGGCAAAGGGGGAAGUGAGGCCUAGGGGGGUCAAAACAGAGGCAGGAGGAGCUUGAACCAACGGGUUCUGACACUCCGUUUUUGCUCAAAUUUCUCAGAAAUGCUUGUUUGGGAAUGGGGCAUUUAAAAAUGUUCUACUUAGAUGGAAAAUGCUUUAUCUAGUAUUAAUAGUUAACCUUCUUCUUGUCUGAGACGCCUAAAAAAGUUUCACUUGGCUUCCUUCCACACAGCUGACUGACGACCCCAUUCCAGCCCUGUGGCUGCGUGCUGGCUGCGCUGCCUCCCAUCAUGGGCGCUGUGUGGGGGGCAUGGGCUCACCCCUCUGCGGCCCAGGACAGCAGCCAGGGUCCCUGCGGGUGGUCCUGCUUCCCCCGCUGGGGAGCUGACAGGAUGAGUGCUGACAGGGGCAUGAGGGCAGCGCAGAGCUCGCUGCUGCCUCCGCUCGCCAUCCAGCUGAGUGUUUUGGCUAUAUGGUCUGCAAAGCGAAGGGGGACUUUUGUUAAAGGCCACUGACAUUUCCAUUGAUUGUAGUCACUGCAGACUGCUCCAUCUCGACCUCCAUCUCUAUCUCUAAGUCAAGUCCCUUCCUUCCUUCCAGGAAAACAGCCAUGUCCUCUGCUUCCUUUCAGUGCUGCCCCUCAGGGAUGGGGUCGCAAACUGUUCCUCUGGUUGCAUGUCCUCAGCUUGCUUGUGGCCCUCCUCUCACAGCCCCAUCUGGCGGGGUUCAGAGAAAUCUCCAGCUAGUGAUGGGCAGCACACCAAUCUCUUCUAGCCAUGAACCAUCACAUCAGCAGGGCACCCAGACGGGUAGGGGGACCGACCAGGCUUGGGAAGCAUCUGAGCCAUGUGUGCAAGCGCGGUGUGGUCCCUGCUGAUGGGAAGAAUAAAGGACUUUCUGCAAUUACCCCACGCGUUCCAUUUGGGAAGCCAGGAUUUCGAAGCAGCAAUCAAGCCUUAAUUGAUUAAAUGCUCACCGCAUUCCCGGGACUGAGCUGCUGUCGCGAAUAAGUCACAGGAAAUUAGCAAUUUGUCUGAGGUGCUUCUGUAUGUUGGCAAUGUCUGGACUCAGGUCCUCCGGCCUUGUUAUUCAUUAGACCACACAAUCCUCUAUCCUCGCCAGGUGGCAUCCCAACAGCACUGCCAGGGUGAAAAGAGCAAAAUAAUAUAACUUCACGUUUAUCUAGGAAAAAGUUUCCCACAGUCCCUUCUGGAUCUUUUUGUUUUGAUUCUGAGGUUUUGUUUUUCUGAAAAGUUAAAAUAAAUCUCGAACUGCAACUGUG